GGGGAUGUUGCUCAGUUGGUAGAGUGUUUGCCUCACAUGCACAAGGCCCUUGGUUUGAUCCCCAGCACCACCA
RNAcentral lists this transfer RNA (73 nucleotides) under Ictidomys tridecemlineatus (thirteen-lined ground squirrel). RNAcentral's name for it is "Spermophilus tridecemlineatus (thirteen-lined ground squirrel) tRNA". It matches the Rfam family "tRNA". From Rfam's summary of the family: Transfer RNA (tRNA) molecules are approximately 80 nucleotides in length. Their secondary structure includes four short double-helical elements and three loops (D, anti-codon, and T loops). The record is from Rfam by way of RNAcentral. Lineage: Eukaryota; Metazoa; Chordata; Mammalia; Rodentia; Sciuridae.